CCGGAGGGGUCCCGCGCGCACCCCGUGAGGCUUCGGCCCAAGCGUCGCGUCCAUCAUGAGGAAUGGACGCCAUG
This 74-nucleotide non-coding RNA is filed under the name unclassified sequences. RNAcentral's name for it is "chrB RNA". It matches the Rfam family "chrB-a RNA". The record is from RNAcentral.